RNAcentral lists this non-coding RNA (326 nucleotides) under Nippostrongylus brasiliensis. RNAcentral describes it as "Eukaryotic small subunit ribosomal RNA". It matches the Rfam family "Eukaryotic small subunit ribosomal RNA", at positions 260 to 597 of the family's 1831-position model. The record is from Rfam by way of RNAcentral. Lineage: Eukaryota; Metazoa; Nematoda; Chromadorea; Rhabditida; Heligmosomidae.
CUUAUCUGAAUGUCGUUAAAUUCAUACGUUUCGAUGUAGUUUCUCGAUUUCGUGCAACCUGGUGAUAACCAAAUUAGAAGGAAAACCAAGAUGCAAUGUUUGUUUUCAAAUAAAUCCGGAGAGGGAACCAUAGAAACGGCUACCACAUCCAUGGAAGGCACCAUGCGCGAAACUUGUCCAAUUCUGAAUAGAUGAGAUAGUGAUCAAAAAUAGGAAGACCAUUCCUAUGGAACGGUCAUUCCAAUGAGUUGAUCAUAAACCUUUUUUCGAGAGCAAGUGGAGGGCAAGUCUUGUACCAGCAGCCGUGGUAGUUCCAGCUCCACUAG